Molecule: ribosomal RNA, 903 nt
Filed under: actinobacterium enrichment culture clone CTBE CDB1001H11
Lineage: Bacteria; Bacillati; Actinomycetota; Actinomycetes
Description: bacterial SSU rRNA
Rfam family: Bacterial small subunit ribosomal RNA
Source: RNAcentral
GCUGCUUACAAUGCAAGUCCAAGAGGUGCUUGCUCCCACUGGCGAACGGGUGAGUAACACGUGAGCAACCUGCCCUUGGCUCUGGGAUAGCCUCCGGAAACGGGGAUUAAUACCGGACAUGACCUUCUCCUGCAUGGGGGAGGGUGGAAAGUUUUUCGGCCAGGGAGGGGCUCGCGGCCUAUCAGCUUGUUGGAGGGGUAACGGCCCACCAAGGCGACGACGGGUAGCCGGCCUGAGAGGGCGACCGGCCACACUGGGACUGAGACACGGCCCACACUCCUACGGGAGGCAGCAGUGGGGAAUAUUGCACAAUGGGGGAAACCCUGAUGCAGCGACGCCGCGUGCGGGAUGAAGGCCUUCGGGUUGUAAACCGCUUUCAGCAGGGGCGAAACCAGACGGUACCUGCAGAAGAAGCGCCGGCUAACUACGUGCCAGCAGCCGCGGUAAUACGUAAGGCGCAAGCGUUGUCCGGAAUUAUUGGGCGUAAAGAGCUCGUAAGCGGCCAGUUGCGUCCGCUGUGAAAACCCGGGGCUUAACCCCGGGCCUGCAGUGGAUACAGGCUGGCUAGAUGCAGGCAGGGGAGAACGGAAUUCCCGGUGUAGCGGUGAAAUGCGCAGAUAUCGGGAGGAUCACCGGUGGCGAAGGCGGUUCUCUGGGCCUGUACUGACGCUGAGGAGCGAAAGCGUGGGGAGCGAACAUGAUUAGAUACCCUGGUAGUCCACGCCGGAAAAGUUGGGCGCUAAGUGUGGAGUCCUUCCACGGGGUCUGUGCCGCAUCUAACGCAUUAAGCGCCCCACCUGUGGAGUACGGCCGCCAAGCUUAAACUCAAAGAAAUUUACAGGGGCCCGCACAAACCGGCGACCAUGGUGCUCAUUCCCACGCAACGCGAAUAACAUUCCAUGG